CCUGAUAGCUCAGUUGGUAAAGAAUCUGCCUGCAAUUCAGAAGACCCUGGUUCAAUUCCUGGGUCAGGA
This 69-nucleotide transfer RNA is filed under the name Capra hircus (goat). It matches the Rfam family "tRNA". Rfam says of the family: Transfer RNA (tRNA) molecules are approximately 80 nucleotides in length. Their secondary structure includes four short double-helical elements and three loops (D, anti-codon, and T loops). Further hydrogen bonds mediate the characteristic L-shaped molecular structure. tRNAs have two regions of fundamental functional importance: the anti-codon, which is responsible for specific mRNA codon recognition, and the 3' end, to which the tRNAs corresponding amino acid is attached (by aminoacyl-tRNA synthetases). tRNAs cope with the degeneracy of the genetic code in two manners: having more than one tRNA (with a specific anti-codon) for a particular amino acid; and 'wobble' base-pairing, i.e. permitting non-standard base-pairing at the 3rd anti-codon position. The record is from Rfam by way of RNAcentral. Lineage: Eukaryota; Metazoa; Chordata; Mammalia; Artiodactyla; Bovidae. RNAcentral also lists the same sequence under 1 other name.